UGGCGGGAUAGCUCAGUUGGCUAGAGCACACGGUUCAUACCCGUGGUGUCGCAAGUUCAAAUCUUGUUCCCGCUAU
This 76-nucleotide transfer RNA is filed under the name Faecalimonas umbilicata. RNAcentral's name for it is "tRNA-Met". It matches the Rfam family "tRNA". Rfam says of the family: Transfer RNA (tRNA) molecules are approximately 80 nucleotides in length. Their secondary structure includes four short double-helical elements and three loops (D, anti-codon, and T loops). The record is from RNAcentral. Lineage: Bacteria; Bacillati; Bacillota; Clostridia; Lachnospirales; Lachnospiraceae.